GAUGGCAAGGGUGAGCUAGGAGAUGUAGUUUUUUGACGCUUAGAAGCUAUUGUCACAAACGGGGAAAAAAACUACAUCUCCCGUGAUGCUCCAGCUAAACCGCUGAACAGGCGCACACGCCCACGCCGAGUAAAGCCAUCGCCUGUAAUCCUCACACAGCUCUCAAUCCUCUGCCGUUAUUUUCGGCCCUUUUAAGUUUUGUAUUCUUAAUAUAUCACAUAAAAAUGGACAACUCCGGGAAAGAGAAGGAGGCUAUCCAACUAAUGGCUGACGCUGACAAAAAAAUAAAGUCUUCGGGCUCCUUUUUGGGCGGGAUGUUUGGAGGAGGCCACCACAAAGUGGAAGAAGCCUGCGAGAUGUACUGCAGAGCGGCCAACAUGUUCAAGAUGGCCAAGAACUGGAGCGCCGCCGGAGGAGCAUUUUGCAAGGCCGCACAUCUCCACAUGCAGCUGCAGAACAAACACGACUGCGCCACCAGCUUCAUCGAUGCCGGGAACGCUUACAAGAAGUCCGAUCCCAACGAGGCAAUCAAGUGUUUAAAUGCCUCCAUCGACAUAUACACUGACAUGGGAAGAUUCACCAUCGCAGCCAAGCACCACAUCAGCAUUGCCGAGAUCUACGAGUCAGAUCUGGUGGAUAUAGAGAAGGCCAUCGCACAUUACGAGCAAGCGGCAGACUACUACAAGGGAGAGGAAUCAAACAGUUCUGCCAACAAGUGUCUGCUGAAGGUGGGGGCCUACUGUGCUCAGCUGGAGCAGUACCCGAAGGCCAUUGAGAUCUAUGAGCAGGUCGGAGCCAACACCAUGGACAACCCUCUGCUCAAGUACAGCGCCAAAGAGUAUUUCUUCAAAGCGUCUCUCUGUCAUUUCAUCGUGGACGAGCUGAAUGCCAAGAUCGCUGUGGAAAAAUACGAGGAGAUGUUCCCGGCGUUCUCCGACUCCAGAGAGUGCAAACUCUUGAAGAAACUUCUGGAGGCCCAUGAGGAACAGAACAGCGAGGCCUUCACAGACGCGGUAAAGGAGUUUGACUCCAUCUCUCGCCUGGACCAGUGGCACACCACGCUCCUGCUGCGCAUCAAAAAGACCAUCCAGGGUGACGAGGGCGACCUCAAAUAAGACCUGUCUUCAGUGGAGACACGGACAGGACCAAUCAAUCAAUCAAUCGUCACGCAUGGUUCCACACACACACACACACACACACACUCUUCCAAUGCGCGCUGCUUUACUGUAACACUCUGCUUCCCUUAAAACGGGCGUUUGGCAAUCUAGUUGGAACGUAAAGCGUCUUCUAGGACGUCUUUUUCACUACCAUCUGUCCUCCUGGGAGGAGCCAGUCAUGUCGACCAGAGCAUGUUUACGUUUAUGUUUAGUCUCCAUGCAGUUUCUUCAGUGAGCAUCCCAGGAAGGUAACCGUUAGACGUGCACUAAGACUGUUAAAGCCACUCAUUCCUUCCUCAGGAUUCCUUUUGGGGACAUUUUCUUUCUUGUGAUUACUUUGAAUUCUUCUAGUUUGAAUGUUGGUUAGGACGCAAAGUUGGGCGCCGCCCCUCGCUACUAAGCAUGCAACCCCACCCCCCGCCCCAUGUGUCGCCGGCGUGGUGAGCCGCAUCCAAAGUAUCCAGCUGCUUCCAGCAUCUUUGAUUUUCUUUUCCUGGAUCCAACAUGGUUUCCUCCUUGGUCCAUCCUUCCCAAUCCCGCUACAAAGUGUCAUGGAAGAGCACUUUGUAAACAACAGACCAUGUCAAAAAACGAAAUUGAUACAACCAUCAAAAGGUUGGCUCAGGCCAUGAUGCCAGGUUGUAUGUUGAGUUUAAAGGAAAUACUUUGGAAAGAUUGUGUGGGCCGUAUUCAAACACUUGGCGGGCCGGAUGUGGCCCCCGGGCCGUAGUUUGCCCACCCCUGUUCUAACAUCAUCUUGAGCUCCACAGCUCCCCCUGCAGUAUAUAUGUCACCAUGGCAACAUUAGGUCGAAUGGGCUGUGCUCGGGCAUAUACAAAUUGACCAAAUUUGUGUUCAUCACCAUAAAUAACCUUCCAUUAAAUAGCCACCUUUUGUGUUUCUUUUAUUUCUAUUCAUGUGCAAGUGGAACAUUUCAGUUAGCUGGUAGUUAAAUAGCUAAUACAGCAUGUGUUCACUAUCACAGCCUUGAAUGAUGGGAACAAUCACCACAAGAAAAAGGAUGCUUUUUUUUCCCCCCACUAUUUUCUACGACUUCAUAUCGUCCAAAGGCUUGUCUGCUAUCUUUUGCACGUCAUCACACGUGUUG
Molecule: non-coding RNA, 2265 nt
Organism: Doryrhamphus excisus (bluestripe pipefish)
Lineage: Eukaryota; Metazoa; Chordata; Actinopteri; Syngnathiformes; Syngnathidae
Source: RefSeq, a predicted model, not a curated record